GACGAACGCUGGCGGCGUGCUUAACACAUGCAAGUCGAACGGAAAGGCCCUGCUUUUGUGGGGUGCUCGAGUGGCGAACGGGUGAGUAGCACGUGAGUAACCUGCCCUUGACUUUGGGAUAACUUCAGGAAACUGGGGCUAAUACCGGAUAGGAGCUCCUGCUGCAUGGUGGGGGUUGGAAAGUUUCGGCGGUUGGGGAUGGACUCGCGGCUUAUCAGCUUGUUGGUGGGGUAGUGGCUUACCAAGGCUUUGACGGGUAGCCGGCCUGAGAGGGUGACCGGCCACAUUGGGACUGAGAUACGGCCCAGACUCCUACGGGAGGUAGCAGUGGGGAAUAUUGCACAAUGGGCGGAAGCCUGAUGCAGCAACGCCGCGUGCGGGAUGACGGCCUUCGGGUUGUAAACCGCUUUCGCCUGUGACGAAGCGUGAGUGACGGUAAUGGGUAAAGAAGCACCGGCUAACUACGUG
RNAcentral lists this ribosomal RNA (468 nucleotides) under uncultured bacterium. Its description in RNAcentral is "partial 16S ribosomal RNA". It matches the Rfam family "Bacterial small subunit ribosomal RNA", at positions 28 to 507 of the family's 1533-position model. The record is from RNAcentral.